GGGCCCGCACAAGCGGUGGAGUAUGUGGUUUAAUUCGAUGCAACGCGAAGAACCUUACCAGGGUUUGACAUCCUGCGAAUCUCUUGGAAACGAGAGAGUGCCUUCGGGAACGCAGUGACAGGUGGUGCAUGGCUGUCGUCAGCUCGUGUCGUGAGAUGUUGGGUUAAGUCCCGCAACGAGCGCAACCCACGUCUUUAGUUGCCAGCAUUUUAGUUGGGCACUCUAGAGAGACUGCCGGUGAUAAACCGGAGAAGGUGUGGAUGACGUCAAGUCAUCAUGCCCCCUUGACAUCUGGGCUACACACGUACUACAAGUGCUACGGACAAAGGGCUGCAAGUUCGCGAGGACAAGCAAAUCCCAUAAACGUGGCUC
RNAcentral lists this ribosomal RNA (372 nucleotides) under uncultured bacterium. Its description in RNAcentral is "bacterial SSU rRNA". It matches the Rfam family "Bacterial small subunit ribosomal RNA", at positions 917 to 1288 of the family's 1533-position model. The record is from RNAcentral.